This 821-nucleotide ribosomal RNA is filed under the name uncultured eukaryote. Its description in RNAcentral is "SSU rRNA". It matches the Rfam family "Eukaryotic small subunit ribosomal RNA", at positions 629 to 1427 of the family's 1831-position model. The record is from RNAcentral.
CGGUGUUUAACUGGCGUGAUGUGGGACGUCCUACCGGUGGGCUUAGCCUCGCGAGGGGCGGCCCAACUAAUAUCCCGUCGCGGUGCUCUUUACUGAGUGUCGAGUCGGGCCGGUACGUUUACUUUGAACAAAUUAGAGUGCUUAAAGCAGGCUAUCCUCGCCUGAAUACUGCGUGCAUGGAAUAAUGGAAUAGGACCUCGGUUCUAUUUUGUUGGUUUUCGGAACCCCGAGGUAAUGAUUAAUAGGGACAGAUGGGGGCAUUCGUAUUGCGACGUUAGAGGUGAAAUUCUUGGAUCGUCGCAAGACGGACAGAAGCGAAAGCAUUUGCCAAAAAUGUUUUCAUUAAUCAAGAACGAAAGUUAGAGGUUCGAAGGCGAUCAGAUACCGCCCUAGUUCUAACCAUAAACGAUGCCAGCUAGCGAUCCGCCGAAGUUCCUCCGAUGACUCGGCGGGCAGCUUCCGGGAAACCAAAGCUUUUGGGUUCCGGGGGAAGUAUGGUUGCAAAGCUGAAACUUAAAGGAAUUGACGGAAGGGCACCACCAGGAGUGGAGCCUGCGGCUUAAUUUGACUCAACACGGGGAAACCUCACCAGGCCCAGACACCGGAAGGAUUGACAGAUUGAUAGCUCUUUCUUGAUUCGGUGGGUGGUGGUGCAUGGCCGUUCUUAGUUGGUGGAGCGAUUUGUCUGGUUAAUUCCGAUAACGAACGAGACUCUAGCCUGCUAAAUAGGCGUACCUUAUGGUAUCGCGAAGGCCCCCGGCUUCGGCCGGUGGGUUUUUACUACCAACGUACAAACAAAUCUUCUUAGAGGGCACAGGCGG